This 398-nucleotide ribosomal RNA is filed under the name uncultured bacterium. RNAcentral's name for it is "partial 16S ribosomal RNA". It matches the Rfam family "Bacterial small subunit ribosomal RNA", at positions 360 to 773 of the family's 1533-position model. The record is from RNAcentral.
AAUAUUGCACAAUGGAGGGAACUCUGAUGCAGCAACGCCGCGUGAGUGAAGAAGGUUUUCGGAUCGUAAAACUCUGUCAUAGGGGAAGAAUAAAUGACUGUACCCAAUGAGGAUGCCCCGGCUAACUACGUGCCAGCAGCCGCGGUAAUACGUAGGGGGCGAGCGUUGUCCGGAAUUACUGGGCGUAAAGGGUGCGUAGGCGGCCGCUUAAGUCAGAUGUGAAAGACCACAGCUUAACUGUGGGGUUGGAUUUGAAACGGGGGGGCUUGAGUAUCGGAGAGGGUAGUGGAAUUCCCAGUGUAGCGGUGGAAUGCGUAGAUAUUGGGAGGAACACCAGUGGCGAAGGCGACUACCUGGACGAAAACUGACGCUGAGGCACGAAAGCUAGGGGAGCAAAC